GAUGAAGAACGUAGCGAAAUGCGAUAAGUAAUGUGAAUUGCAGAAUUCAGUGAAUCAUCGAAUCUUUGAACGCACAUUGCGCCCGCCAGUAUUCUGGCGGGCAUGCCUGUCCGAGCGUCAUUUCAACCCUCGCGCCCAUCUGGGCUGCGGUAUUGGGGACCGGCCUGCCCCCCGGGGCGCGCCGCCCCCCAAAUUCAGUGGCGGUCUCGCUGCAGCCUCCCUUGCGUAGUAGCACACCUCGCACCGGAGCGCAGCGCGGCCACGCCGUAAAACCCCCGACCCCCAUGAGUUUGACCUCGGAUCAGGUAGGAAUACCCGCUGAACUUAAGCAUAUCAAUAAGCGGAGGA
RNAcentral lists this unclassified non-coding RNA (348 nucleotides) under soil metagenome. RNAcentral describes it as "partial contains 5.8S ribosomal RNA, internal transcribed spacer 2, and large subunit ribosomal RNA". The stretch from base 1 to 120 matches the Rfam family "5.8S ribosomal RNA", at positions 35 to 154 of the family's 154-position model. The record is from RNAcentral.